UUUCCGUGGUUAGUGCUCUGAUGUCCCGAUAUAGAUAAUCUUGAAGUAAUUCUUGAUUCUUAGAUCAACUAGAGAACUCUCAGGAAACUUCCUCUCUUCCCACCAAAAAUACUUAUAUAGUUAUCCUUGGGCGAUCUUGGAUCUUAAUUAGCACACUCACAUUCCCUGUGGAAAAUCGAUACUCUGGAAUACUCCCGGGUGAAGGCUACAUCGGUAUCCGUGCGCUUGCGGAUUUUUCUGUUUGCGUUUAAAAUACCCAACAAGCUUUCUGGCGCCGUUGCCGGGGAACGGUAGCUGUGCUAGUUUCGAAUCAAGUCACCCGUAUAUCCUUUUUCUUUUCCUUUUUUUUACCACACUCACCUUAUCAUUUUCACCGUACCAUAUGGAUUUCACUCUAAGCAUUAAUAAGCAUGGAAUUUAUUUCAUAGCCACUUCAUUUACUCCAUGCUCAUAUGCAACAUCUUCACAAUCCAUUGGUCUCUCCAACAUCACCACAUUCGAGAUCUCCAACCCCCUCUUCCUUUCUAUUUAUAAAAACUUUAAAAGGGCGGUUGUCGAUGCAUAUGUUUAUAAUAAAUUUUGCAGAUCUCGUUGAGUUAAUCUUGAUAUAGGUCAGCGUUGGAGGGGAAACCACUUCACUGACAUAAAUUGAUGGUUUCCCAAGGACAAGCUUAGUGUCCUAAAACAAGCAC
RNAcentral lists this long non-coding RNA (692 nucleotides) under Sorghum bicolor (sorghum). Its description in RNAcentral is "long non-coding RNA (SBIC_LNC002598)". The record is from RNAcentral. Lineage: Eukaryota; Viridiplantae; Streptophyta; Magnoliopsida; Poales; Poaceae.